This 499-nucleotide ribosomal RNA is filed under the name uncultured bacterium. Its description in RNAcentral is "bacterial SSU rRNA". It matches the Rfam family "Bacterial small subunit ribosomal RNA", at positions 28 to 518 of the family's 1533-position model. The record is from RNAcentral.
GAUGAACGCUAGCGACAGGCUUAACACAUGCAAGUCGAGGGGCAGCAUAGAAGUAGCAAUACUUUGGUGGCGACCGGCGCACGGGUGAGUAACGCGUAUGCAACCUACCUAUCAGAGGGGAAUAACCCGGCGAAAGUCGGACUAAUACCGCAUAAAACAGGGGCACCGCAUGGUGAUAUUUGUUAAAGAAAUUCGCUGAUAGAUGGGCAUGCGUUCCAUUAGGUAGUUGGUGAGGUAACGGCUCACCAAGCCGACGAUGGAUAGGGGAACUGAGAGGUUGGUCCCCCACACUGGUACUGAGACACGGACCAGACUCCUACGGGAGGCAGCAGUGAGGAAUAUUGGUCAAUGGGCGAGAGCCUGAACCAGCCAAGUCGCGUGAAGGAAGAAGGAUCUAUGGUUCGUAAACUUCUUUUGCAGGGGAAUAAAGUGCAGGACGUGUCCUGUUUUGUAUGUACCCUGAGAAUAAGGAUCGGCUAACUCCGUGCCAGCAGCCGAC